This is an RNA transcript of Esox lucius (northern pike), 4240 nucleotides long. It is a transcript of the gene named zinc finger protein 436-like, with no coding region annotated. The record is from RefSeq and is a predicted model, not a curated record. The transcript has 3 exons. Lineage: Eukaryota; Metazoa; Chordata; Actinopteri; Esociformes; Esocidae.
CAAAUACACUCAGUUAAUCCUAAAUGCUGCGUAGUUAGCUAGACGAUCUACUAUUUUAUGCUAAACUUCGCUAGAUUUUAUUUUGAAUAUGAAUAGCUUGCUAGCGGCAGUUGUCCUGCGUUUCAAUGAUGGAUAUACUACCUGGAUAUAUCUUCAAUUCCUGUUAGCUUUGGCGAUUCUUUAGAAUAUACAGAAAAAGUCUAAUAGAAGAAAAAACAUUUGUGAGGAUUUGGAAGGACUCGCUGGCCAAUCAUAUCGCACUGAACGUAUUUUGGCCUAUAGCCUUUUUGGAUCUUUAGUCGAACAAAAAUGAUUCAAGAGAAAGAAAUGUUGGAUGAAAUCGAACUGAGUUUAUGGACCCUAACCGAGUAAAAUGUAUACUACUUGUGUGAACGUUGAGGUCAAAGGAAAGAGUCAUCGCUCGCUGCGUAAAAUUAUCGAAGAAUAUUGUGAAAAUGUUGAUUUAAUUGACCCAACGGAUCAGGGAAUGUCUCGGUUACUCAAACUGAAAUAUCAAAUCAAAAAUGUAAAAGAUGAUGCUAACUGUGUGACCACGAACCCCAGAACGACAGCUCAAAAGCAAAACCCGACGGAGAAUUCAAUGAAGAGGGGGGAGCUGGUUUUCUGAAGAACAGGAUGAAGGCUGAGCCUGUUCCUCAUUGGCUCAUUAUACCACAGCAGAGGGAGACAGUGGAUGUUGGGUACCUGUGCUGAUUUUCCUGGAAGAAACUAGAAACACCAGCCGUCACUCACGAAAUAAUGUUUUGUGGACAGAUGACUCAAACAUGAAACUUUUGGAUGACUUGUCCCCGUUUUGUCUGGCAAAAAACCAACAUUGCAUUCCUCACUAAGAACCACAACCACUUGGAAAUACAAUGUUCUGCAAUGAAUAGCUGGACGGAGUUCCCCUUACUGCAGGAGGCGUUUGGUGACAGACAUAUCAACUAAAGGCAACAUUUUUACGUUUAACUGGGAAAUUAACUUUUUUACACAGCUGUGUUGGGUUUCAAAUAACAAAACAAGCGGAGCCCAAAGUGUCACCGGGUCCUGAAUGUGACAAACCUACGGAAUCACCAGGUCCUGAUUGUGGCAAACCUACAGAAUCACCAGGUCCUGAUUGUGGCAAACCUAAGGAAUCACCAGGUCCUGAUUGUGGCAAACCUACGGAAUCACCAGGUCCUGAUUGUGGCAAACCUAAGGAAUCACCAGGUCCUGAUUGUGGCAAACCUACAGAAUCACCAGGUCCUGAUUGUGGCAAACCUACGGAAUCACCAGGUCCUGAUUGUGGCAAACCUACGGAAUCACCAGGUCCUGAUUGUGGCAAACCUAAGGAAUCACCAGGUCCUGAUUGUGGCAAACCUACAGAAUCACCAGGUCCUGAUUGUGGCAAACCUACGGAAUCACCAGGUCCUGAUUGUGGCAAACCUACGGAAUCACUGGGUCCUGAAUGUGACAAUGGAGCACUGUGUGAGGAACAGGGUCCGGAUAUGGGGUCUUGGCCAUCUCUCAAAAGAGUUGCUGGAAAACUGUAGGGUUAUGCUGGGUCACAGAGUCAACACAAAAGGCGAUGGGAAGGAGGACGAGAGGAUUUCUAUCUUUGCGAAUGAUGGUAUGAGUGUAUAAAAUGUAAUAUGAGCAUGGCUAUGUAAAAUUGCAUUAUAAUGCCAUUAGUGUUCUUAUGCAGAAAGUUAAAAUUUCCAACUGCUUACAACUACUGAUGUGUUGAUUGCUGUUUGUGCAGGAGUGGAUCCUGAUUCCUCAGACUUAUCAGUGGAUACAUUGUCUUUAUCAUGGGAACCUCACCAGGAAGUUAACAAAGUAAUAAGAUCUUCACACAGCCCUCAUAGUAAGAAAAUAUGCACCGUAAAAUCUGGUCCUGAAUGGCUUAUGAACUCACACUCUAAAGAGACACCCUCAUCCCAAACUUCAGAUUACAAAGAAAGUGUUUGUACUGGGACAUUUUCAAAGAGAAACAAUAGGACAUAUCCUGGAGAGAAACAUUGCUUUGACUGUCAGCAAAGUUUCUCUUCAAUUGGAUGCCUGAGAAAACACAAUCGGUUGCAUUCAGGUGAGAAACCUUUUCAGUGCACUGAGUGCGAUAAGAAAUACACUAGAUCAGACCAACUGAAAGAUCAUAUGGUACUACAUUCUGGUGUGAGACCAUACCAAUGCUCUGAAUGUGAUAAAACAUUCCCUACCAAUUCGCGUCUUAAAACGCACUUGCGAAUACAUAAUGGUGAAAGGCCUUUCAGUUGCCCACAGUGCAACAAGAGUUUCACAAUCAGUUCAAAUCUUUAUCAACACCUUUCAGUACACUCUGGAGCGAAACCUCACCAAUGCUCUGACUGCAAUGGUAAUUUCUCUACUGCUCGGGCACUUAAGAAACAUAGACUGCUACAUACAGGGAUUAAGCCUUUCUGCUGCUCCCACUGUAACAAGAAGUACACAAGAUCAGAUCAGUUAAAAAUUCAUAUGAAGACCCAUGUGAAAUCAUUUUAUCGAAGUCCCCAAUGUCAGAAGAGUUUUGAAACUAAGUCACAUCUUAAGAAACACCUGCUAAUACACAGCAGAGAUAUUUCUCUCCACUGCCCUGUCUGUGACCAAAAGUUCUCUUCUGUGGAUGACUUAAAUGAACACAUGCCAUUUCACAUAAGGGAGAAACUAUUCCAUUGUCUGCUGUGUCAGGAAAGGUACAGUGAAUCAGAUGAGUUGAAAGAACAUAUGAUAACUCAUGAGGAACAUUUGGGUGUUUAACCUGGUCCUGAAGCUAAAUCACCAAGUUCUAGAAAUUUAGAAUUACAAUGUCAAGAAACUGACCGUACUGUUGACAAACCUGACAUCAGCCUUGAGUGUAAAACAGAUUUUUAUCACCAGAACAACCGGAAAGAACAAAAACACACUUGGAGAACAAUGAAGCCAAGGGAUGAGACACCACACACUGAGGAAAACCAAUCACACACUUUGGAGAAGCCUAAAUGCUGUGUUGAAUGUGGGAAACACUUCUGUAGAAGUUCACCUCUAGCAUUACACAAAGACAACCCUGAUCACUGUUCAGAUUGCAGUGAACAGUUUUGUUCGGGAAUAAUUCUUAGGAAACACCAGGAAAAUUACUCUGAAGAUAAACUUUACCUCAGCUCUGUGUGUAAUGCUAGUUUCCAUUUAAUUGGAGAUUUAAAAUCCCAUGCAAGGAUCCACACAGAGGAGCCUCAACAUGGUUCUGACUCUAAACAAAAUGUCUUUGCAGCACAGACUUUAAAACCCAAGCGGCUACACAGGGGAGAGAAGCGUUUUUACGCUGUGACGACUGUAAUAAGACUUUCACCAGAGCAGACUCGUUGAAGUUUCAUAUGUUGUCACAUACCGGAGAAAAAUCUUACCAAUGUCCUGAAUGUGAAAAACGCUACUAUAGUUCCUCCCAAUUAAAAAUUCAUCAGAAAUGAGUUCAUAGGGGGGAAAAACCUUACCUUUGUUCUUACUGUGGAUUGACUUUUGGUCUACUAGGUAAUCUCAAAGAGCACCAGCGAAUACACACUGGAGAAAAGCCACAUAUCUGUCCUGAGUGUGGGAAGCAGUUCAGCCAAGCAAAAGACUUAAAAAGACAUCAGCAGAAACAUACUGGAGAAAAACCAUAUCAGUGUCCUGAUUGUGAGAAAUGUUUCACCCAGCUAGAUUCGCUUAAAGUACACCAGGUAAGACAUACAGGAAAGUGGGCUCUCCACUGUGUUCAGUGUAGUAAAGGGUUCAUGUCUACACGGCUGUUAAAAAAAACACAUCUCACACUCGCAAACCCUUCGUCUGUUCAGACUGUGGGAAACGUUUCAGGCAGAUUGCUGGACUUCAUGCACAUGAGCAAAACCACACCGUAAAGACUGUCUGAACUGAAUGUAAGAAAAGAUAUUCAAGUCUAAAGAUAUACCGUUGAUUGGAUUCUGUUGAUUCUGUAACACUGAUGAACUUACCCAUUUGGAAACCUUCUAGAGAAGUCAAAUGAAACGUUCUCCAACCUGAAUUGCUGCCUGAACAAGCAGUGGUAAAUUACUGCCACUACUGUGUGCGGACUUUGACUUUUCUACGAUGUUUGUAAACUGUAUACUAAUACUAAAUUGUUAGCAUAAGGAGGAUGUGUAAUGACAAAAUAUUAGCUGCAAGUCUGCUUUUCAGCACAACUCCCAAGAUUGUUUUGGCCAGACAUGUUAGGGUCCUUUUGCACUCUGGUCAUUCUGAAAAUGUAAGUUUGGUC